RNAcentral lists this transfer RNA (71 nucleotides) under Loxodonta africana (African savanna elephant). It matches the Rfam family "tRNA". From Rfam's summary of the family: Transfer RNA (tRNA) molecules are approximately 80 nucleotides in length. Their secondary structure includes four short double-helical elements and three loops (D, anti-codon, and T loops). The record is from Rfam by way of RNAcentral. Lineage: Eukaryota; Metazoa; Chordata; Mammalia; Proboscidea; Elephantidae.
CUGCUGGUGGCUUAGUGGUUAAGCAUUCGGCUGCUAACCAAAAAGGCUGGCAGUUCAAAUCCACCAGCUGC